AGUCUCAGGAAAAUAUCUGAGGUUUAACCUGCCCAAUGUGUAUUAUUAACGGCCGCGGUACUUUGACCGUGCUAAGGUAGCGCAAUCAAUUGGCUCUUAAUUGGGGUCAGGUAUGAAUGGAAUAACGGAGUUCAGCUGUCUCAAGAUUAAUAAUUUGAAAUUACUAUUUAGGUGAAAAAGCCUAAUACUAGAAAAGGGACGAGAAGACCCUUAGAGUUUUACUUAGUCAAAAUAUGAGUUAGAUAUUUUUAAUGGUUUAGUUGGGGCAACAUAGGAGCAUUGAAGUUAAUCUCCUAAAUAUAAUUAACCGAUUAUUUUAAAUUUGGAUAAACUACCUUAGGGAUAACAGCAUAAUUUAUUAAAUAAGUUUGUGACCUCGAUGUUGGACUAGGAAAUCUAAAGGCUAGCCGUUUUUAGAGAGAGUUCUGUUCGAACUAUUAUUCCU
This 445-nucleotide ribosomal RNA is filed under the name Glossodoris cincta. RNAcentral describes it as "partial 16S ribosomal RNA". It matches the Rfam family "Archaeal large subunit ribosomal RNA", at positions 1920 to 2665 of the family's 2987-position model. The record is from RNAcentral. Lineage: Eukaryota; Metazoa; Mollusca; Gastropoda; Nudibranchia; Chromodorididae. RNAcentral also lists the same sequence under 1 other name.